AGUUAGGAAAUGUAGGCUCGCUAAUGCCGUGUCUAUUUGACAAAGGCUCCAAAGGAAGCCACGGCUAACUCUGUGCCAGCAGCCGCGGUAAUACAGAGGUGGCAAGCGUUGUUCGGAAUUAUUGGGCGUAAAGAGCACGUAGGUGGAUUUGUAAGUCAGAUGUGAAAGCCUUCUGUUCAACGGGAGAAUUGCAUCUGAAACUACAGACCUUGAGUAUAGGAGGGGAGAGUGGAACUUCUGGU
This 242-nucleotide ribosomal RNA is filed under the name uncultured anaerobic ammonium-oxidizing bacterium. RNAcentral's name for it is "partial 16S ribosomal RNA". It matches the Rfam family "Bacterial small subunit ribosomal RNA", at positions 441 to 674 of the family's 1533-position model. The record is from RNAcentral.